UACGUAGGGUGCAAGCGUUGUCCGGAAUUAUUGGGCGUAAAGAGCUCGUAGGCGGUCUGUCGCGUCUGCUGUGAAAACUCAGGGCUUAACCCUGAGCUUGCAGUGGGUACGGGCAGACUAGAGUGCGGUAGGGGAGACUGGAAUUCCUGGUGUAGCGGCGAAAUGCGCAGAUAUCAGGAGGAACACCGGUGGCGAAGGCGGGUCUCUGGGCCGUAACUGACGCUGAGGAGCGAAAGCCAGGGGAGCGAACGGG
This 253-nucleotide ribosomal RNA is filed under the name uncultured bacterium. Its description in RNAcentral is "partial 16S ribosomal RNA". It matches the Rfam family "Bacterial small subunit ribosomal RNA", at positions 524 to 776 of the family's 1533-position model. The record is from RNAcentral.